This 843-nucleotide long non-coding RNA is filed under the name Capsicum annuum. RNAcentral describes it as "long non-coding RNA (CANN_LNC007523)". The record is from RNAcentral. Lineage: Eukaryota; Viridiplantae; Streptophyta; Magnoliopsida; Solanales; Solanaceae.
CCACCAGCAAAAGAUACCAACAACAUGUAUCAGUUCAUAAUUACAUCGAUUUUACAGCAAAAAAUACAAACUUUCUCAUAAUUACAACACUUUUACAGAAAAAAAAUACCAACUUUUUCAUUAUUACAACAAUUUUUCCUUUUUUUAUUUGAUAAUCGUCAACUAAUUCCACGAGAUACCUCCACCUCCCACCAGCAACAGAUACCAACAACAGGUAUCAACUCAUAAUUACAUCAAUUUUACAGCAAAAAAUACAAACUUUCUCAUAAUUACAACACUUUUACAGAAGAAAAUACCAACUUUUUCAUUAUUACAACAAUUUUUCGUUUUUUUUUUUGUGUGUGUGUGAUAAUAGCCAACUAAUUCCACGAGAUACCCUCCACCUCCCACCAGCAACAGAUACAUCAGGUAUCAACUCACUCUUACAUCAAUUUUACAUCAAAAACACAAGCUUUCUCAUAAUUACAUCAAUUAUAAAGCAAAAAUACAAACUUUUUCAUUAUUACAACAAUUUUUCUUUUUGUGUGAUAACCGUCAACUAAUUCCACGGAUACCCUCCACCUCCCACCAGCAACAGAUACAACAGAUAUCAACUCACUUUUACAUCAAUUUUACAUAAAAAAACACAAGCUUUCUCAUAAUUACAUCAAUUUUACAGCAAAAAUACCAACUUUUUCAUUAUUACAACAAUUUUUAUUUUUGUGUGAUAACCGUCAACUAAUUCCACGUGAUACCCUCCACCUCCCACCAGCAACAGAUACCAACAACAGGUAUCAACUCAUUCUCGCAUCAAUUUCACAGCAAAAAACAGCAACUUUUUCACUAUUACAUAAAUCUUACAGC